RNAcentral lists this non-coding RNA (30 nucleotides) under Rattus norvegicus (Norway rat). The record is from RNAcentral. Lineage: Eukaryota; Metazoa; Chordata; Mammalia; Rodentia; Muridae.
UGGAAGACACGACUGCCUCCAUGUUGGCUA